Solanum pennellii is the source of this 1658-nucleotide RNA transcript. It is a transcript of the gene named RNA pseudouridine synthase 3, mitochondrial-like, with no coding region annotated. The transcript is spliced from 4 exons. The record is from RefSeq and is a predicted model, not a curated record. NCBI's taxonomy places the organism in Eukaryota, Viridiplantae, Streptophyta, Magnoliopsida, Solanales, Solanaceae.
AUGUAAGGUAGGCUUUUCGGUUUUCCUUCUUCUCCUCAACCCCUGAAAUCUUCCAUAACUGGUUUCAUUGCCCUACAAUAUUGUUUUCGAAAUUUCAAUACGGAUUGACAAUUGAGAACUCGAGUGUCUAAUGCGCAACUUUUUACAAGAUUUCACUCGGUUUUGUGAUAAUUGGCAUUUUUGCGUGGUUCAACAUUUCAAAUUUUUAAUUUGCCAAUAUUGUGGUACUUUAAAGCUAAUUGUUGAAACAAGGGGGAUUGAAUCUUUGAACGGAAGAAACAUAAAUUAUAUUUGGAUUUCUUUUGAUGGAAAAAUCAUUGUUGAACAAGUAAAGUUGCAUCAACAGUGAUUUCGACCUACGUCAGCAGUGUUGCACGUUCACUAACAAUUAUGCUGUUAAGAAAUGUAAGGACUCUACUGAACUGCUAACUCUCUACUCGCUAAGUCUUUUGAUGUUCGGUAUCACGUGUGAUUCGUUUUCUUUCAGCUUUGUUUACUCAACUCAAAAUACGUUACUGCAUAAUGUUGUUAAUCACUUUUGCUAAUUCAAGAAAUAUAUUACUAUCAUUGUUUUCUCAGAAAUUUUUUUAAGGAUUGCUUUGAAUUUUGUUUUAUGUUUUUGGCACUUGAUUGAAACUAUAGAUGAAGGAUCAUGAAAUCACUUGAUCUCUAAAACUAUUUGAUGUACGCUAAAAGUAAUACGAAUGGACUAUGGAGUAAAUGCUGCUAGCGGUGCUGUUUUGAAAGUUCUUAAUUGCAGCGAGGAAGUUGUGAAUGUAAUACAACUACAACUUGCACUAACUAUACAUCUUAGGCCCGGUAUACGGGGGUACCUGCCACAUAAUUUUAAGACCCCGAAAGUGCCUGAAUAGAGUAUUAGCUAGUACCUUUAAUUUGCAAGAUAUGGGGCCGCAAAAUCUUCAGACCCCAAAAAUAUCGAUUUAAGGUAAUUUAAGUGCUUCACGAUUUGCUUUGUGAUAUAAGCUCACUCUGCUAGAUUUUAAUGUUUGUAUUUCACUUAUGUUAUUAAUUGAAAUAUCUUGGAAAUGAAUGCAGAGUCAUCUAUUAGUUUGAACCCCUCCAAAGACAAUUCUCUAUGCUUCUGGAAAAUUUCAAGGAAGAAUGGUCAAUGUAACUCAUUAGUUAUGCAGAGUGGAUUGUACUUACAAGUUCGAAUGAUCGUACACGAUCCUCCUUAUUGUUCUCAAUAGAUAUUUCUAAAUAUUUGUUCACACCUGAUAUUUUCGUCAAAUUAAACAGCUUCGAGUUCAUUGUGUUGAAGCCCUUGAAACUCCAAUUGUGGGCGAAUACAAGUAUAGUGGAUUUGUCUAUCGCAAAUGGAAGCAGAUGCCAAGAGGAGAUAUUGAGCCGACAAUAGGGAAAACCUACAGAUUGGAGAGGCCAGGAGGUUUGGCUGUUCAGAAAGGAAAUGUCUUACUAAAGUCCCUUUACUACAUCUGCAUUGUAGGGAGCUUGUUCUCCUAAUAUUGUCAAAUUUAUUGAGCUUCAUGGUCGGAAAAACGAUGAAACACUUCAAUUAUAGCUCAAAACCAGAUCUCCUCCGGUUUGUGUCCUGCGUGUGAAAAUAUUAUGAUAGAAUUUUAUUAUGAUAGUGAAGUUCAUUUCAAAAUCAAUUACGUUAUAUUAUUUGUUCUUAA